AUUGAACGCUGGCGGAAUGCUUUACACAUGUAAGUCGAACGGCAGCACGGGGGCAGCCCUGGUGGCGAGUGGCGAACGGGUGAGUAAUACAUCGGAACGUGCCCGGUCGUGGGGGAUAACGUAGCGAAAGUUACGCUAAUACCGCAUACGAUCUGAGGAUGAAAGCGGGGGACCUUCGGGCCUCGCGCGAUCGGAGCGGCCGAUGUCAGAUUAGGUAGUUGGUGGGGUAAAGGCCUACCAAGCCGACGAUCUGUAGCUGGUCUGAGAGGACGACCAGCCACACUGGGACUGAGACACGGCCCAGACUCCUACGGGAGGCAGCAGUGGGGAAUUUUGGACAAUGGGCGCAAGCCUGAUCCAGCCAUUCCGCGUGCAGGACGAAGGCCUUCGGGUUGUAAACUGCUUUUGUACGGAACGAAAAGGCUCUGGCUAAUACCUGGGGCUCAUGACGGUACCGUAAGAAUAAGCACCGGCUAACUACGUG
Molecule: ribosomal RNA, 484 nt
Filed under: uncultured bacterium
Lineage: Bacteria
Description: partial 16S ribosomal RNA
Rfam family: Bacterial small subunit ribosomal RNA
Source: RNAcentral